UGUGUUUUGGGCUAGGGUUAAUUUUAUUCGGCCAUACGGGUUAUUGGGUUUUGGGUUGUCUUUUAUUUUUUUAUUUUUUUGUUUUUGGUUUCUUUGGCGGGCCGGGCAAAAAUUAGGCCCUACAGCUGCCCCUCUUUGCUCACUGUCGUGUAACGAGAAUAGAGCAAAGACUAAAAAGCCCAAUUUUUCCCGGUCUUACUGAGCCUCGACUUCUUCAGGUGGCCUCAUUUCUUCCUACUGCAUCUUUA
This 248-nucleotide long non-coding RNA is filed under the name Gossypium raimondii (Peruvian cotton). RNAcentral's name for it is "long non-coding RNA (GRAI_LNC011173)". Lineage: Eukaryota; Viridiplantae; Streptophyta; Magnoliopsida; Malvales; Malvaceae. The record is from RNAcentral.